Molecule: ribosomal RNA, 484 nt
Filed under: uncultured bacterium
Lineage: Bacteria
Description: partial 16S ribosomal RNA
Rfam family: Bacterial small subunit ribosomal RNA
Source: RNAcentral
AUUGAACGCUGGCGGCAUGCUUUACACAUGCAAGUCGAACGGCAGCGCGGGCUUCGGCCUGGCGGCGAGUGGCGAACGGGUGAGUAAUACAUCGGAACGUGCCCAGUCGUGGGGGAUAGCUCGGCGAAAGCCGGAUUAAUACCGCAUACGACCUGAGGGUGCAAGCGGGGGAUCUUCGGACCUCGCGCUAUUGUAGCGGCCGAUGGCAGAUUAGCUAGUUGGUGGGGUAAAGGCCUACCAAGGCGACGAUCGGUAGCUGGUCUGAGAGGACGACCAGCCACACUGGGACUGAGACACGGCCCAGACUCCUACGGGAGGCAGCAGUGGGGAAUUUUGGACAAUGGGCGAAAGCCUGAUCCAGCAAUGCCGCGUGUGUGAUGAAGGCCUUCGGGUUGUAAAGCACUUUUGGCGGGAACGAAAAGGACUGUGCCAAUACCACGGUUCGAUGACGGUACCCGCAGAAUAAGCACCGGCUAACUACGUG